Molecule: transfer RNA, 63 nt
Filed under: Nigronia serricornis
Lineage: Eukaryota; Metazoa; Arthropoda; Insecta; Megaloptera; Corydalidae
Also listed under: 5 other names
Description: tRNA-Gly
Source: RNAcentral
AUUUAUAUAGUAUAAAAAGUAUUUUUGACUUCCAAUCAAAAGGUCUAAUUUUUAGUAUAAAUA